This 275-nucleotide ribosomal RNA is filed under the name uncultured prokaryote. Its description in RNAcentral is "partial 16S ribosomal RNA". It matches the Rfam family "Bacterial small subunit ribosomal RNA", at positions 524 to 798 of the family's 1533-position model. The record is from RNAcentral.
UACGGAGGAUCCGAGCGUUAUCCGGAUUUAUUGGGUUUAAAGGGUGCGCAGGCGGGAGAUUAAGUCGGCGGUGAAAUUUUACAGCUUAACUGUAAAAGUGCCUUCGAAACUGGUUUCCUUGAGUGUAGAUGAAGUAGGCGGAAUUUGUGGUGUAGCGGUGAAAUGCAUAGAUAUCACGAGGAACUCCGAUUGCGCAGGCAGCUUACUAAACUACUACUGACGCUCAGGCACGAAGGCGUGGGGAUCAAACAGGAUUAGAUACCCUGGUAGUCCCU